GGCGUGCAUGCCGAGUAGUUUAGGGCGCUACAUUUGAAAUCUGGAGGUCUCAGGUUCAAAUCCUGCAUCUUGCAUGCCA
Non-coding RNA from Desmophyllum pertusum, 79 nucleotides. The record is from the annotation of a GenBank genome assembly. Lineage: Eukaryota; Metazoa; Cnidaria; Anthozoa; Scleractinia; Caryophylliidae.